This 240-nucleotide unclassified non-coding RNA is filed under the name soil metagenome. RNAcentral's name for it is "partial contains 5.8S ribosomal RNA, internal transcribed spacer 2, and large subunit ribosomal RNA". The record is from RNAcentral.
AACCUUAUGGACCUGCGGGCGUAUACCUGCGGAAGGAUCAUUACACAAUAACAUAUGAAGGCUGUACGCGGCUGCGCCCUCGGGCCAGUUGGCUGAGGCUGGAGUAUUUAUUACCCUUGUCUUUUGCGCACUUGUUGUUUCCUGGGCGGGUUCGCCCGCCACCAGGACCACAUGAUAAACCUUUUUUUAUGCAGUUGCAAUCAGCGUCAGUACAACAAAUGUAAAUCAUUUACAACUUUC